RNAcentral lists this long non-coding RNA (555 nucleotides) under Gorilla gorilla gorilla (western lowland gorilla). RNAcentral describes it as "lncRNA (ENSGGOG00000044691.1)". The record is from RNAcentral. Lineage: Eukaryota; Metazoa; Chordata; Mammalia; Primates; Hominidae.
UAUUAAGAGUCUAGGAUAUGAAUCGUAGAUAUCGCGUAACUUAGGAAAGCACCUUUCAUCAGCCUCUCAGAUUAUGUUAGCUAAUUCUUGGCUCUGAUCUCUUACCUAGAUCCAAAGCCCAGGAUGACUCCUCUCAAACAGUGAAACCGGGGUCAAUUUUUGCGGACACCACCCAAAGAAACAUGGAGAGGACCACCAUUAAGAAACAGGAAAAAACCUGUUGGUACAAUACAUAAACCCAGAUCUUCUCAUGGAUGUCCUGCCCCUGGUGCUGAGCAUGGGCACCUUGGUGAGUCUGAGGAAGGUCUCACGUCCCUUCCUCACUCUAGCAGUGGAAGAAGCACUACCACACUAGUCUGGGGUGACCUGCGGGCAUCACCCCACACCUGAGUGGAGGGGACCGUGGCUGUGGCCCCACGUUGGGGAUGGCCAGGAAGGAUGUGGAAGCCUUUGACUUAGAGCCGCUACUUGACAUCUGAGUUUUUCAUUUCAUUCUUUCCCUGCUUUCCCUCUGGAAUGUCUCUCUUUCAAAUAAAGAACAUGUUUGACGAGAGU